RNAcentral lists this ribosomal RNA (261 nucleotides) under uncultured bacterium. RNAcentral's name for it is "partial 16S ribosomal RNA". It matches the Rfam family "Bacterial small subunit ribosomal RNA", at positions 15 to 254 of the family's 1533-position model. The record is from RNAcentral.
GAUCAUGGCUCAGGAUGAACGCUGGCGGCGUGCUUAACACAUGCAAGUCGAACGGAGUUUACUUAACAGAUUCCUUCGGGAUGACGUUUUUUAAACUUAGUGGCGGACGGGUGAGUAACGCGUGGGUAACCUGCCUUACACAGGGGGAUAGCGAGUUGGAAACGACUGGUAAUACCGCAUACCUUACAUUAUUCGCAUGUUUGAUGUAAGUAAAGAUUUUAUCGGUGUAAGAUGGACCCGCGUCUGAUUAGCUAGUUGGUG